This 484-nucleotide ribosomal RNA is filed under the name uncultured bacterium. RNAcentral describes it as "partial 16S ribosomal RNA". It matches the Rfam family "Bacterial small subunit ribosomal RNA", at positions 30 to 507 of the family's 1533-position model. The record is from RNAcentral.
AUUGAACGCUGGCGGCAGGCCUAACACAUGCAAGUCGAGCGGAUGAAGGGAGCUUGCUCCUGGAUUCAGCGGCGGACGGGUGAGUAAUGCCUAGGGAUCUGCCUGGUAGUGGGGGAUAACGUCCGGAAACGGGCGCUAAUACCGCAUACGUCCUGAGGGAGAAAGUGGGGGAUCUUCGGACCUCACGCUAUCAGAUGAGCCUAGGUCGGAUUAGCUAGUUGGUGGGGUAAAGGCCUACCAAGGCGACGAUCCGUAACUGGUCUGAGAGGAUGAUCAGUCACACGAGAACUUAGACACGGUCCAGACGCCUACGGUAGGCAGCAGUGGGGAAUAUUGGACAAUGGGCGAAAGCCUGAUCCAGCCAUGCCGCGUGUGUGAAGAAGGUCUUCGGAUUGUAAAGCACUUUAAGUUGGGAGGAAGGGCAGUAAGUUAAUACCUUGCUGUUUUGACGUUACCAACAGAAUAAGCACCGGCUAACUUCGUG